GCCCUGGUGGUGCAGUGGUUAAAGCACUCGGCUGCUAACUGAAAGGUCGUGGUUCAAACCCACCUGGGGAG
Molecule: transfer RNA, 71 nt
Filed under: Loxodonta africana (African savanna elephant)
Lineage: Eukaryota; Metazoa; Chordata; Mammalia; Proboscidea; Elephantidae
Rfam family: tRNA
About the family: Transfer RNA (tRNA) molecules are approximately 80 nucleotides in length. Their secondary structure includes four short double-helical elements and three loops (D, anti-codon, and T loops).
Source: Rfam by way of RNAcentral